This 492-nucleotide ribosomal RNA is filed under the name uncultured bacterium. RNAcentral describes it as "partial 16S ribosomal RNA". It matches the Rfam family "Bacterial small subunit ribosomal RNA", at positions 29 to 507 of the family's 1533-position model. The record is from RNAcentral.
AGUGAACGCUGGCGGUAGGCCUAACACAUGCAAGUCGAACGGCAGCACAGUAAGAGCUUGCUCUUACGGGUGGCGAGUGGCGGACGGGUGAGGAAUACAUCGGAAUCUACUUUUUCGUGGGGGAUAACGUAGGGAAACUUACGCUAAUACCGCAUACGACCUACGGGUGAAAGCAGGGGAUCUUCGGACCUUGCGCGAUUGAAUGAGCCGAUGUCGGAUUAGCUAGUUGGCGGGGUAAAGGCCCACCAAGGCGACGAUCCGUAGCUGGUCUGAGAGGAUGAUCAGCCACACUGGAACUGAGACACGGUCCAGACUCCUACGGGAGGCAGCAGUGGGGAAUAUUGGACAAUGGGCGCAAGCCUGAUCCAGCCAUACCGCGUGGGUGAAGAAGGCCUUCGGGUUGUAAAGCCCUUUUGUUGGGAAAGAAAAGCAGCAGGUUAAUACCCCGCUGUUCUGACGGUACCCAAAGAAUAAGCACCGGGUGACUUCGUG